This 22-nucleotide microRNA is filed under the name Anolis carolinensis (green anole). RNAcentral's name for it is "aca-miR-5408b". The record is from miRBase by way of RNAcentral. Lineage: Eukaryota; Metazoa; Chordata; Lepidosauria; Squamata; Anolidae.
ACAACUCCCACAAUCCUUUGUC